UACAGAGGGUGCAAGCGUUAAUCGGAAUUACUGGGCGUAAAGCGUGCGUAGACGGUUAUGUAAGUCGGAUGUGAAAGCCCCGGGCUUAACCUGGGAAUGGCAUUCGAAACUGCAUAGCUAGGGUGCGGAAGAGGGAAGCGGAAUUUCGGGUGUAGCGGUGAAAUGCGUAGAUAUCCGAAGGAACAUCAGUGGCGAAAGCGGCUUCCUGGUCCAGCACCGACGUUCAGGCACGAAAGCGUGGGGAGCAAACAGG
RNAcentral lists this ribosomal RNA (253 nucleotides) under uncultured bacterium. Its description in RNAcentral is "partial 16S ribosomal RNA". It matches the Rfam family "Bacterial small subunit ribosomal RNA", at positions 524 to 776 of the family's 1533-position model. The record is from RNAcentral.